AGAGUUUGAUCCUGGCUCAGGACAAACGCUGGCGGCGUGCGUAACACAUGCAAGUCGGACGGGGCCUUGAGGGGGUAGUGAUACCGUCUUGAGGUCGAGUGGCGGACGGGUGAGUAACACGUGGAUAACCUACCCUGGUGUGGGGGAUACCCUGUAGAAAUACGGGCUAAUACCGCAUGAGGUCACGCUUGGGAAGCCGA
RNAcentral lists this ribosomal RNA (200 nucleotides) under uncultured bacterium. RNAcentral's name for it is "partial 16S ribosomal RNA". It matches the Rfam family "Bacterial small subunit ribosomal RNA", at positions 8 to 195 of the family's 1533-position model. The record is from RNAcentral.